This 539-nucleotide ribosomal RNA is filed under the name uncultured Eubacteriales bacterium. RNAcentral's name for it is "bacterial SSU rRNA". It matches the Rfam family "Bacterial small subunit ribosomal RNA", at positions 8 to 561 of the family's 1533-position model. Lineage: Bacteria; Bacillati; Bacillota; Clostridia; Eubacteriales. The record is from RNAcentral.
AGGGUUUGAUUAUGGCUCAGGAUGAACGCUGGCGGCGUGCCUAACACAUGCAAGUCGAACGGAAAAUUCGUAGCAAUAUGGAUUUUUAGUGGCGGACGGGUGAGUAACGCGUGAGUAACCUGCCUUUCGGAGGGGGACAACAGCUGGAAACGGCUGCUAAUACCGCAUAAUGUAUAUUGGUGGCAUCAUCGAUAUACCAAAGAUUCAUCGCCGAAAGAUGGACUCGCGUCUGAUUAGCUAGUUGGUAGGGUAACGGCCUACCAAGGCUUCGAUCAGUAGCCGGACUGAGAGGUUGAACGGCCACAUUGGGACUGAGAUACGGCCCAGACUCCUACGGGAGGCAGCAGUGGGGAAUAUUGGGCAAUGGGCGCAAGCCUGACCCAGCAACGCCGCGUGAAGGAAGAAGGCUUUCGGGUUGUAAACUUCUUUGACGAGGGAAGAAAGAAAUGACGGUACCUCGAAAACAAGCCACGGCUAACUACGUGCCAGCAGCCGCGGUAAUACGUAGGUGGCAAGCGUUAUCCGGAUUUACUGGGUGU